RNAcentral lists this ribosomal RNA (463 nucleotides) under uncultured bacterium. Its description in RNAcentral is "partial 16S ribosomal RNA". It matches the Rfam family "Bacterial small subunit ribosomal RNA", at positions 28 to 507 of the family's 1533-position model. The record is from RNAcentral.
GAUGAACGCUGACAGAAUGCUUAACACAUGCAAGUCGAUGGGGAAGUGGUGCUUGCACCAUGGUAACCAUGGCGGACGGGUGAGUAACGCGUAAGGAACUUGCCUGCGGGACUGGGAUAACAGCAGGAAACUGCUGAUAAUACCGGAUAAGGUCAUUAAGCUGCAUAGCUUAGUGAUGAAGGGAGACGCCUGCGGAGAGCCUUGCGUCCUAUUAGCUAGUUGGAGGGGUAACGGCCCACCAAGGCGAAGAUAGGUAGCCGGCCUGAGAGGGUGGACGGCCACAAGGGGACUGAGAUACGGCCCUUACUCCUACGGGAGGCAGCAGUGGGGAAUAUUGGACAAUGGGGGCAACCCUGAUCCAGCAAUUCUGUGUGCACGAAGACGGUUUUCGGAUUGUAAAGUGCUUUCAGCAGGGAAGAAGGAAGUGACGGUACCUGCAGAAGAAGCGACGGCUAAAUACGUG